Molecule: ribosomal RNA, 726 nt
Filed under: uncultured archaeon
Lineage: Archaea
Description: bacterial SSU rRNA
Rfam family: Archaeal small subunit ribosomal RNA
Source: RNAcentral
AGUUUCUUGUGAAAUUCUAUGUCUCAAACGUGGAGCGUGCAAGAAGUACCGUCAAGCUAGAGACCGGUAGACGUAAGAAGUACGUUCAGAGUAGCGGUAAAAUGUGUUAAUCCUGGACGGACUAACGAUAGCGAAGGCAUCUUACGAGGACGGUUCUGACAGUAAGGGAUGAAGGCUAGGGGCGCAAAACGGAUUAGAUACCCGUGUAGUCCUAGCAGUAAACACUGCACACUAAACAUUAGUACCUCCUCGAGAGGUAUUAGUGCUGAAGGGAAGCCGAAGAGUGUGCUACCUGGGAAGUAUAGUCGCAAGGCCGAAACUUAAAGGAAUUGGCGGGGAGACACUACAACGGGUGACGCGUGCGGUUCAAUUAGAUUCUACACCGUGAACCUCACCAGGAGCGACAGCAGGAUGAAGGUCAGUCUGAAGGGCUUACCUGACACGCUGAGAGGAGUUGCAUGGCCGACGUCAGCCUGUGCCGUGAGGUGACCUGUUAAAUCAGGUAACAGGCAAGACCCACAUCUCUAUUUACUACGUGUACCAUAGAGAGAUUGCCUCGGUAACGAGGAUGAAAGUGUGGGCUACGUUAGGUGAGUACAGCCCGAAUCCCCUGGGCAACACGCGCGCGUCAACGGUGGAUACAACGGGAUGCGACUCCGAAAGGAGAAGCUAAUCUCUUAAAGUCCAUCUCAGUUUAGAUCGAGGUUUGUAACUCAGCCUCGUGAC